Molecule: long non-coding RNA, 554 nt
Filed under: Pan troglodytes (chimpanzee)
Lineage: Eukaryota; Metazoa; Chordata; Mammalia; Primates; Hominidae
Description: long non-coding RNA NONPTRT006107
Source: RNAcentral
UAUUUUUAGUAGAGACAGGGUUUCACCGUGUUAGCCAGGAUAGUCUCGAUCUCCUGACCUUGUGAUCUGCCCACCUCGGCCUCCUAGAGUGCUGGGAUUACAGGCGUGAGCCACCGCACGCGGCCGGUUGAUGAUCUUAAUACAGUGAUGCCAAGGAAAUCCAAGGAGAUGCAGCUCGAUCUGUCACAUCUUCUGUCUUUGUUAAGGCAGCUCUGAUAAAAGGAAGGGCUCACAGAUAAUCUGUAUUUCCCACCUCUUUUACAAUGGGGCCUUAUGACUGAGCUCUGGCCAAUGGAAUGUAGGUGGGAGAGAUGCAUGCCUGGCCUGGCUCAUAGAAACCUUCCUCAUGGCCCUUCCUUCUCCUCCCUUCCAAUGUGACUCUUGACGGUGACAUGCUGAAGAUGGGCGUGCAACCUGGGUCUUUGGGGAUCCAGUUGGAGAAGAGUGCCCUGAUCCACUUUGGACUAUGGUGAAAGGAAUCCAAUUUUAAUGUUGUUAAACAGCUGAGAUUUUAGGAUUGUUUAUGUUAGUGUCAGUGUAGAAGCUAAUGUUAC